AAUUCGGAGUCUUUGAACGCAAGUUGCGCCCGAUGCCAUUAGGUUGAGGGCACGUCUGCCUGGGUGUCACAUAUCGAAACCCCCUGCCAAUUUCCCUUUGAUUAUUGUGCAGGGUGGAUGUUGGCCUCCCGUGAGCUCUUUUGUCUCAUGGUUGGUUGAAAAUUGAGACCUUGGUAGGGUGUGCCAUGAUAGAUGGUGGUUGUGUGACCCACGAGACCAAUCGUGCGCUGCUCUAUUGAAUUUGGCCUCUUUUACCCAUAUGCGUUUCUAAACGCUCGUGAUGAGACCUCAGGUCAGGCGGGGCUACCCGCUGAAUUUAAGCAUAUCAAUAAGCGGAGGAAAAGAAACUAACAAGGAUUCCCUUAGUAACGGCGAGCGAACCGGGAUAAGCCCACCAUGAGAAUCGGUCGCCCUCGGCGUUCGAAUUGUAGUUGAAAAAAACCGUCAAAUUCAAGA
RNAcentral lists this ribosomal RNA (456 nucleotides) under Vicia lutea. RNAcentral's name for it is "eukaryotic LSU rRNA". The stretch from base 284 to 456 matches the Rfam family "Eukaryotic large subunit ribosomal RNA", at positions 1 to 173 of the family's 3401-position model. The record is from RNAcentral. Lineage: Eukaryota; Viridiplantae; Streptophyta; Magnoliopsida; Fabales; Fabaceae.